GUGAAACCGUUCGGGGGUAAACCUGAGAAACCCGAAAAUUCGAAUGGGGAGAUUCAUCUUCAGUGGGGCUGGCUUCGCGGUGGUUGGCGAUGCUACGUACUUCGGUACGGUGGCACGUCGCCGCUGUGUAUGUCCGGUCUCGCGGUUGUGCACUUCUCCCCUAGUAGGACGUCGCGACCCGCUGGGUGUUGGACUACGGCCCGUAUGGUAGACUGUCUCGUCGCUUCGGCGUUCGAGGCAGACCUUCGGUGUGUCUCUCCUUCCCGUCCAACUGCUCGGCGGUAUUUUGCGAUAGUAUUCGGCCGCAACAAACAAAUUCGAACGACAUGCGUCUUUGGCCCGCGGCAAGCACAGCUUUGGCACGCGGUGUCCUCGGACAGGCCGCUUUACUUGUUUGCGACGCUAUUGCUUUGGGUACUCUCAGGACCCGUCUUGAAACACGGACCAAGGAGUCUAACAUGUGCGCGAGUCAUUGGGACAACAAAACCUAAAGGCGAAAUGAAAGUGAAUGUCGACCUCGCGUCGACAAAGGGAGGAUGGGCGGUCUAACAUAGCCGCCUCGCACUCCCGGGGCGUCUCGUUCUCAUUGCGAGAAGAGGCGCACCUAGAGCGUACACGUUGGGACCCGAAAGAUGGUGAACUAUGCCUGGUGAGGACGAAGUCAGGGGAAACCCUGAUGGAGGUCCGUAGCGAUUCUGACGUGCAAAUCGAUCGUCGGAACUGGGUAUAGGGGCGAAAGACUAAUCGAACCAUCUAGUAGCUGGUUCCCUCCGAAGUUUCCCUCAGGAUAGCUGGCACUUGAACGAAAUAUCAAACGAUUUUCCAGUCUCAUCUGGUCAAGCGAAUGAUUUGAGGCCUBGGGGCCGAAACGACCU
This 875-nucleotide ribosomal RNA is filed under the name Ageniella sp. PO812. RNAcentral describes it as "eukaryotic LSU rRNA". It matches the Rfam family "Eukaryotic large subunit ribosomal RNA", at positions 399 to 1047 of the family's 3401-position model. Lineage: Eukaryota; Metazoa; Arthropoda; Insecta; Hymenoptera; Pompilidae. The record is from RNAcentral.